RNAcentral lists this ribosomal RNA (672 nucleotides) under Triticum aestivum (bread wheat). RNAcentral's name for it is "partial small subunit ribosomal RNA". The record is from RNAcentral. Lineage: Eukaryota; Viridiplantae; Streptophyta; Magnoliopsida; Poales; Poaceae.
AUGGAAAAGGUUCCUUUCACAAAAAGGGCUCUGAAAAAUUUGUGUGGUAAAAUCAGCAGAGAGCAAGCAGAGGAUGAUGUGAGGAAAACGAUGGAGGUUUUUGUAGAUCUGGGUUCAAGAGAUCCACACUUCACGUAUCGUGUCCAGGCGGACCAGGAUGGGUGGAAAACGACUCUUAUGUGGGAAAAUGGGAGUAGCAGGCUGCAGUACACAUUCUUCGGAGAUGUUGUUACCUUCGAUACGACAUAUAGAGCAAACUUGUACAACAUGCCAUUUGGUCUGUUUGUAGGUGUCAAUAAUCAUUUCCAGAGCAUCAUCCUAGCUGGGGUUUUGGUCCGUGAUGAGAAAGUUGAGACAUUUGAGUGGGUUUUCACAGAAUUUGUUAGGAUGAUGGGCGGAAGUGCACCAAAAACCAUUUUGACAGAUCAAAACCGAGCGAUGGAGGUCGCCAUUAAAAGUGUGAUGCCUCAAAUGGCACACCGAUGGUGCAAGUGGCAUGUGCUAAAGAAGGCGAAGGAAUCACUUGGCUUGUUGUACACCAAGAAGAGCGAGUUCAGGGCAGAGUUCCACAAGGUAGUAAAUCACAUGCUUACAAUCGAUGAAUUCAAGGAAGGUUGGAAGGUAUUGGUGGAGAAAUACAAUCUGAAGACACACAACUACAUGAUAUUUUAA